GGGGAAUAUUGCGCAAUGGAGAAGAACUCUGACGCAGCAAUACCGCGUGAAUGACGAAGGCCUUCGGGUCGUAAAAUUCUGUUAUUGGGGAAGAAAUAAAUGACGGUACCCAAUGAGCAAGUCCCGGCUAACUACGUGCCAGCAGCCGCGGUAAUACGUAGGGGACAAGCGUUGUCCGGAAUCACUGGGCGUAAAGGGCACGCAGGCGGUCUAUCAAGCAGGAUGUGAAAGGCAGGAGCUCAACUCCUUGCACGGCAACCUGAACUGACAGACUAGAGUAUUGGAGAGGCAGGCAGAAUUCCUGGUGUAGCGGUGAAAUGCGUAGAGAUCAGGAGGAAUACCGGAGGCGAAGGCGGCCUGCUGGACAAAUACUGACGCUGAGGUGCGAAAGCGUGGGGAGCAAAC
This 405-nucleotide ribosomal RNA is filed under the name uncultured bacterium. RNAcentral describes it as "bacterial SSU rRNA". It matches the Rfam family "Bacterial small subunit ribosomal RNA", at positions 356 to 773 of the family's 1533-position model. The record is from RNAcentral.